RNAcentral lists this ribosomal RNA (578 nucleotides) under uncultured fungus. RNAcentral's name for it is "eukaryotic LSU rRNA". The stretch from base 217 to 370 matches the Rfam family "5.8S ribosomal RNA". Lineage: Eukaryota; Fungi. The record is from RNAcentral.
AGCUUUCCGUAGGUGACCUGCGGAAGGAUCAUUACCGAGUUGAUUCGGGCUCCGUCCCGAUCCUCCCACCCUUUGUAUACCUACCUCUGUUGCUUUGGCGGGCCGCGGUCUUCCGCGGCCGCCCCCCGAUUUUGGGGGGUGGCUAGUGCCCGCCAGAGGACUAUCAAACUCCAGUCAGUAAACGUUGCAGUCUGAAAAAAAUAUUAAAUAAACUAAAACUUUCAACAACGGAUCUCUUGGUUCUGGCAUCGAUGAAGAACGCAGCGAAAUGCGAUAAGUAAUGUGAAUUGCAGAAUUCAGUGAAUCAUCGAAUCUUUGAACGCACAUUGCGCCCCUUGGUAUUCCGGGGGGCAUGCCUGUUCGAGCGUCAUUUCAACCCUCAAGCUCUGCUUGGUAUUGGGCACCGUCCUUUGCGGGCGCGCCUCAAAGACCUCGGCGGUGGCGUCUUGCCUCAAGCGUAGUAGAAUACACCUCGCUUCGGAGCGUAAGGCGUCGCCCGCCGGACGAACCUUCUGAACUUUUCUCAAGGUUGACCUCGGAUCAGGUAGGGAUACCCGCUGAACUUAAGCAUAUCAAAA